This is a long non-coding RNA of Hibiscus syriacus, 191 nucleotides long. RefSeq lists it as uncharacterized. The record is from RefSeq and is a predicted model, not a curated record. NCBI's taxonomy places the organism in Eukaryota, Viridiplantae, Streptophyta, Magnoliopsida, Malvales, Malvaceae. The transcript has 3 exons.
AAUCAAGUUUGGAAUCACAUUUACAUUUGGAAAUUUGCUUGCACUUGGAAGCACAACAUUCCUCAUUGGCCCCAAAAGGCAGGUGUCAAUGAUGUUUGAUCCUGUUCAUAUAUAUGCAACCGCUAUACAUAUUGCAAGUAUGAUUAUUGUUUUGUUUUGUGCCUUCUAUGUUCGUAACAAGCUGUUGACAC